GAUCCUGGCUCAGGAUGAACGCUGACAGAAUGCUUAACACAUGCAAGUCGAUGGGGAAGUGGUGCUUGCACCAUGGUAACCAUGGCGGACGGGUGAGUAACGCGUAAGGGACUUACCUGCAGGACUGGGAUAACAGGGGGAAACUCCUGACAAGACCGGAUAAUGUCAUGGAGCUGCAUGGCUUUAUGAUGAAAGGAGACGCCUGCGGAGAGCCUUGCGUCCUAUUAG
This 228-nucleotide ribosomal RNA is filed under the name uncultured bacterium. Its description in RNAcentral is "partial 16S ribosomal RNA". It matches the Rfam family "Bacterial small subunit ribosomal RNA", at positions 15 to 244 of the family's 1533-position model. The record is from RNAcentral.